UGGUAGUGACGAAAAAUAACAAUGCGGGACUCUUACGAGUCUGCGUAAUUGGAAUGAGUACACUUUAAAUCCUUUAGCAACAAUCAAUUGGAGGGCAAGUCUGGUGCCAGCAGCCGCGGUAAUUCCAGCUCCAAUAGCGUAUAUUAAAGUUGUUGCGGUUAAAAAGCUCGUAGUUCGAGCUCAUUUUCGGACUGGGGUGGCAGGUCACCGCCCGGUGCUUUCCCCCUAGUCUCCGAAGAGAGUUUCCUUGAUUGGAAACGCAAAGCCGGUUCGGGCGGGGUGCUCUUUACCGAGUGUCCCGUGCGGCCGGCCAGUUUACCUUGAAUAAAUGAGAGUGCUCAAAGCAGGCUACUCUAGAAUACAAUGCCCGAAUGUUAACUGCAUGGAAUAAUGGAAGAUGAUCUGGGUUCCAUUUUGUUGGUGGUGGGAGCCCCAGUUAAUGAUAAAGAGAGACUGUCGGGGGCAUCCGUACUACGACGCGAGAGGUGAAAUUCAGUGACCGUCGUAGGACGAACAACAGCGAAAGCAUUUGCCAAGAAUGUCUUCGUUGAUCAAGAACGAAAGUUAGAGGAUCGAAGGCGAUCAGAUACCGCCCUAGUUCUAACCCUAAACGAUGCUGACUAGCAAUUCGCCGUCGUUAUUCCCAUGACGUGGCGAGACGCCCCCGGGAAACCUCAAGUGUUUGAGUUCCGGGGGUAGUAUGGUUGCAAAAGUGAAACUUAAAGGAAUUGACGGAAGGGCACCACCAGGAGUGGAGCCUGCGGCUUAAUUGACUCAACACGGGAAAGCUCACCAGGCCCGGACACCAGAAGGAUUGACAGAUUAAGAGCUCUUUCUCGAUUUGGUGGGUGGUGGUGCAUGGCCGUUCUU
Molecule: ribosomal RNA, 870 nt
Filed under: Macrobrachium equidens
Lineage: Eukaryota; Metazoa; Arthropoda; Malacostraca; Decapoda; Palaemonidae
Description: SSU rRNA
Rfam family: Eukaryotic small subunit ribosomal RNA
Source: RNAcentral